UAAUCAUGGAGUAUAAUAAUUAAAUUUAAUAAAUUUAAUAUAACUAUUAAUAGAAUUAGGUUACUAAUAAAUUAAUAACAAUUAAUUUUAAAACCUAAAGGUAAACCUUUAUAUUAAUAAUGUUUUUUUUUUAUUAUUUUUAUAAUAAGAAUAAUUAUUAAUAAUAAUAAACUAAGUGAACUGAAACAUCUAAGUAACUUAAGGAUAAGAAAUCAACAGAGAUAUUAUGAGUAUUGGUGAGAGAAAAUAAUAAAGGUCUAAUAAGUAUUAUGUGAAAAAAAUGUAAGAAAAUAGGAUAACAAAUUCUAAGACUAAAUACUAUUAAUAAGUAUAGUAAGUACCGUAAGGGAAAGUAUGAAAAUGAUUAUUUUAUAAGCAAUCAUGAAUAUAUUAUAUUAUAUUAAUGAUGUACCUUUUGUAUAAUGGGUCAGCAAGUAAUUAAUAUUAGUAAAACAAUAAGUUAUAAAUAAAUAGAAUAAUAUAUAUAUAUAUAAAAAUAUAUUAAAAUAUUUAAUUAAUAUUAAUUGACCCGAAAGCAAACGAUCUAACUAUGAUAAGAUGGAUAAACGAUCGAACAGGUUGAUGUUGCAAUAUCAUCUGAUUAAUUGUGGUUAGUAGUGAAAGACAAAUCUGGUUUGCAGAUAGCUGGUUUUCUAUGAAAUAUAUGUAAGUAUAGCCUUUAUAAAUAAUAAUUAUUAUAUAAUAUUAUAUUAAUAUUAUAUAAAGAAUGGUACAGCAAUUAAUAUAUAUUAGGGAACUAUUAAAGUUUUAUUAAUAAUAUUAAAUCUCGAAAUAUUUAAUUAUAUAUAAUAAAGAGUCAGAUUAUGUGCGAUAAGGUAAAUAAUCUAAAGGGAAACAGCCCAGAUUAAGAUAUAAAGUUCCUAAUAAAUAAUAAGUGAAAUAAAUAUUAAAAUAUUAUAAUAUAAUCAGUUAAUGGGUUUGACAAUAACCAUUUUUUAAUGAACAUGUAACAAUGCACUGAUUUAUAAUAAAUAAAAAAAAAAUAAUAUUUAAAAUCAAAUAUAUAUAUAUUUGUUAAUAGAUAAUAUACGGAUCUUAAUAAUAAGAAUUAUUUAAUUCCUAAUAUGGAAUAUUAUAUUUUUAUAAUAAAAAUAUAAAUACUGAAUAUCUAAAUAUUAUUAUUACUUUUUUUUUAAUAAUAAUAAUAUGGUAAUAGAACAUUUAAUGAUAAUAUAUAUUAGUUAUUAAUUAAUAUAUGUAUUAAUUAAAUAGAGAAUGCUGACAUGAGUAACGAAAAAAAGGUAUAAACCUUUUCACCUAAAACAUAAGGUUUAACUAUAAAAGUACGGCCCCUAAUUAAAUUAAUAAGAAUAUAAAUAUAUUUAAGAUGGGAUAAUCUAUAUUAAUAAAAAUUUAUCUUAAAAUAUAUAUAUUAUUAAUAAUUAUAUUAAUAAUAUAUAUAAUUAUAUUAUAUAUUUUUUUUUUUAUAUAAUAUAAACUAAUAAAGAUCAGGAAAUAAUUAAUGUAUACCGUAAUGUAGACCGACUCAGGUAUGUAAGUAGAGAAUAUGAAGGUGAAUUAGAUAAUUAAAGGGAAGGAACUCGGCAAAGAUAGCUCAUAAGUUAGUCAAUAAAGAGUAAUAAGAACAAAGUUGUACAACUGUUUACUAAAAACACCGCACUUUGCAGAAACGAUAAGUUUAAGUAUAAGGUGUGAACUCUGCUCCAUGCUUAAUAUAUAAAUAAAAUUAUUUAACGAUAAUUUUAUUAAAUUUAGGUAAAUAGCAGCCUUAUUAUGAGGGUUAUAAUGUAGCGAAAUUCCUUGGCCUAUAAUUGAGGUCCCGCAUGAAUGACGUAAUGAUACAACAACUGUCUCCCCUUUAAGCUAAGUGAAAUUGAAAUCGUAGUGAAGAUGCUAUGUACCUUCAGCAAGACGGAAAGACCCUAUGCAGCUUUACUGUAAUUAGAUAGAUCGAAUUAUUGUUUAUUAUAUUCAGCAUAUUAAGUAAUCCUAUUAUUAGGUAAUCGUUUAGAUAUUAAUGAGAUACUUAUUAUAAUAUAAUGAUAAUUCUAAUCUUAUAAAUAAUUAUUAUUAUUAUUAUUAAUAAUAAUAAUAUGCUUUCAAGCAUAGUGAUAAAACAUAUUUAUAUGAUAAUCACUUUACUUAAUAGAUAUAAUUCUUAAGUAAUAUAUAAUAUAUAUUUUAUAUAUAUUAUAUAUAAUAUAAGAGACAAUCUCUAAUUGGUAGUUUUGAUGGGGCGUCAUUAUCAGCAAAAGUAUCUGAAUAAGUCCAUAAAUAAAUAUAUAAAAUUAUUGAAUAAAAAAAAUAAUAUAUAUUAUAUAUAUUAAUUAUAAAUUGAAAUAUGUUUAUAUAAAUUUAUAUUUAUUGAAUAUAUUUUAGUAAUAGAUAAAAAUAUGUACAGUAAAAUUGUAAGGAAAACAAUAAUAACUUUCUUAAAAAAUAAAAAUGGAAAGAAUUAAAUUAAUAUAAUGGUAUAACUGUGCGAUAAUUGUAACACAAACGAGUGAAACAAGUACGUAAGUAUGGCAUAAUGAACAAAUAACACUGAUUGUAAAGGUUAUUGAUAACGAAUAAAAGUUACGCUAGGGAUAACAGGGUAAUAUAACGAAAGAGUAGAUAUUGUAAGUUAUGUUUGCCACCUCGAUGUCGACUCAACAUUUCCUCUUGGUUGUAAAAGCUAAGAAGGGUUUGACUGUUCGUCAAUAAAAAUGUUACGUGAGUUGGGUUAAAUACGAUGUGAAUCAGUAUGGUUCCUAUCUGCUGAAGGAAAUAUUAUCAAAUUAAAUCUCAUUAUUAGUACGCAAGGACCAUAAUGAAUCAACCCAUGGUGUAUCUAUUGAUAAUAAUAUAAUAUAUUUAAUAAAAAUAAUACUUUAUUAAUAUAUUAUCUAUAUUAGUUUAUAUUUUAAUUAUAUAUUAUCAUAGUAGAUAAGCUAAGUUGAUAAUAAAUAAAUAUUGAAUACAUAUUAAAUAUGAAGUUGUUUUAAUAAGAUAAUUAAUCUGAUAAUUUUAUACUAAAAUUAAUAAUUAUAGGUUUUAUAUAUUAUUUAUAAAUAAAUAUAUUAUAAUAAUAAUAAUUAUUAUUAUUAAUAAAAAAUAU
This 3082-nucleotide ribosomal RNA is filed under the name Saccharomyces cerevisiae (brewer's yeast). It matches the Rfam family "Bacterial large subunit ribosomal RNA". The record is from RNAcentral. Lineage: Eukaryota; Fungi; Ascomycota; Saccharomycetes; Saccharomycetales; Saccharomycetaceae.